RNAcentral lists this long non-coding RNA (372 nucleotides) under Cricetulus griseus (Chinese hamster). Its description in RNAcentral is "lncRNA (ENSCGRG00015033669.1)". Lineage: Eukaryota; Metazoa; Chordata; Mammalia; Rodentia; Cricetidae. The record is from RNAcentral.
ACAUGCUGUCCUACUGUGCUUGCAGGAGAUAAACUUAGAAGACUGCUGAACUUUGCCAAAUUGGGGCCCUGAAUAAAACAUAAACACCAGGGAACACGUUGAUGCAACUGAGAAGUAUAAAAGUUGGAAGUCAGAAGAGUCAGUGAGAGUCCCUCUCAGACAAGCCAAGGUGAAAAGACCACUCAAGACCAGACAAGCUGCCUGGAAGAUGUUUAGACCUACUGAGGCAUAUGGAAAGGAUACUCUGCAACUUGUUGAUCUGAUUACAGGCUGUGCAGUGUGCUCCAGGCUCCCUGCUUUUGUGAGCUGUCAACCAUGCUGGGGUGGGCUUUGGUGAUGCAGCUGUCUCUGAAUUAUUUCUGCUUCUACAAG